Molecule: ribosomal RNA, 1516 nt
Filed under: Lactiplantibacillus plantarum
Lineage: Bacteria; Bacillati; Bacillota; Bacilli; Lactobacillales; Lactobacillaceae
Description: Lactobacillus plantarum partial 16S ribosomal RNA
Rfam family: Bacterial small subunit ribosomal RNA
Source: RNAcentral
UCAGGACGAACGCUGGCGGCGUGCCUAAUACAUGCAAGUCGAACGAACUCUGGUAUUGAUUGGUGCUUGCAUCAUGAUUUACAUUUGAGUGAGUGGCGAACUGGUGAGUAACACGUGGGAAACCUGCCCAGAAGCGGGGGAUAACACCUGGAAACAGAUGCUAAUACCGCAUAACAACUUGGACCGCAUGGUCCGAGUUUGAAAGAUGGCUUCGGCUAUCACUUUUGGAUGGUCCCGCGGCGUAUUAGCUAGAUGGUGGGGUAACGGCUCACCAUGGCAAUGAUACGUAGCCGACCUGAGAGGGUAAUCGGCCACAUUGGGACUGAGACACGGCCCAAACUCCUACGGGAGGCAGCAGUAGGGAAUCUUCCACAAUGGACGAAAGUCUGAUGGAGCAACGCCGCGUGAGUGAAGAAGGGUUUCGGCUCGUAAAACUCUGUUGUUAAAGAAGAACAUAUCUGAGAGUAACUGUUCAGGUAUUGACGGUAUUUAACCAGAAAGCCACGGCUAACUACGUGCCAGCAGCCGCGGUAAUACGUAGGUGGCAAGCGUUGUCCGGAUUUAUUGGGCGUAAAGCGAGCGCAGGCGGUUUUUUAAGUCUGAUGUGAAAGCCUUCGGCUCAACCGAAGAAGUGCAUCGGAAACUGGGAAACUUGAGUGCAGAAGAGGACAGUGGAACUCCAUGUGUAGCGGUGAAAUGCGUAGAUAUAUGGAAGAACACCAGUGGCGAAGGCGGCUGUCUGGUCUGUAACUGACGCUGAGGCUCGAAAGUAUGGGUAGCAAACAGGAUUAGAUACCCUGGUAGUCCAUACCGUAAACGAUGAAUGCUAAGUGUUGGAGGGUUUCCGCCCUUCAGUGCUGCAGCUAACGCAUUAAGCAUUCCGCCUGGGGAGUACGGCCGCAAGGCUGAAACUCAAAGGAAUUGACGGGGGCCCGCACAAGCGGUGGAGCAUGUGGUUUAAUUCGAAGCUACGCGAAGAACCUUACCAGGUCUUGACAUACUAUGCAAAUCUAAGAGAUUAGACGUUCCCUUCGGGGACAUGGAUACAGGUGGUGCAUGGUUGUCGUCAGCUCGUGUCGUGAGAUGUUGGGUUAAGUCCCGCAACGAGCGCAACCCUUAUUAUCAGUUGCCAGCAUUAAGUUGGGCACUCUGGUGAGACUGCCGGUGACAAACCGGAGGAAGGUGGGGAUGACGUCAAAUCAUCAUGCCCCUUAUGACCUGGGCUACACACGUGCUACAAUGGAUGGUACAACGAGUUGCGAACUCGCGAGAGUAAGCUAAUCUCUUAAAGCCAUUCUCAGUUCGGAUUGUAGGCUGCAACUCGCCUACAUGAAGUCGGAAUCGCUAGUAAUCGCGGAUCAGCAUGCCGCGGUGAAUACGUUCCCGGGCCUUGUACACACCGCCCGUCACACCAUGAGAGUUUGUAACACCCAAAGUCGGUGGGGUAACCUUUUAGGAACCAGCCGCCUAAGGUGGGACAGAUGAUUAAGGGUGAAGUCGUAACAAGGUAGCCGUA